This 253-nucleotide ribosomal RNA is filed under the name uncultured bacterium. RNAcentral describes it as "partial 16S ribosomal RNA". It matches the Rfam family "Bacterial small subunit ribosomal RNA", at positions 524 to 776 of the family's 1533-position model. The record is from RNAcentral.
UACGAAGGGUGCAAGCGUUACUCGGAAUUACUGGGCGUAAAGGGUGCGUAGGUGGUUGUUUAAGUCUGCUGUGAAAGCCCCGGGCUCAACCUGGGAACGGCAGUGGAUACUGGACAGCUAGAGUGCGGUAGAGGGUAGUGGAAUUCCCGGUGUAGCAGUGAAAUGCGUAGAGAUCGGGAGGAACACCAGUGGCGAAGGCGGCUACCUGGACCAGCACUGACACUGAAGCACGAAAGCGUGGGGAGCAAACAGG